This 253-nucleotide ribosomal RNA is filed under the name uncultured bacterium. Its description in RNAcentral is "partial 16S ribosomal RNA". It matches the Rfam family "Bacterial small subunit ribosomal RNA", at positions 524 to 776 of the family's 1533-position model. The record is from RNAcentral.
UACGGAGGGGGCUAGCGUUGUUCGGAAUUACUGGGCGUAAAGCGCACGUAGGCGGACUGUUAAGUCGGGGGUGAAAGCCCAGGGCUCAACCCUGGAAUGGCCUUCGAUACUGGCAGUCUUGAGAUCGGGAGAGGAGAGUGGAAUUCCUAGUGUAGAGGUGAAAUGCGUAGAUAUUAGGAAGAAUACCAGUGGCGAAGGCGGCUAACUGGCCCGAUUCUGACGCUGAGGUGCGAAAGCGUGGGGAGCAAACAGG